GAUGAACGCUGGCGGCGUGCCUAAUACAUGCAAGUCGAGCGAACAGACGAGGAGCUUGCUCCUCUGACGUUAGCGGCGGACGGGUGAGUAACACGUGGAUAACCUACCUAUAAGACUGGGAUAACUUCGGGAAACCGGAGCUAAUACCGGAUAAUAUAUUGAACCGCAUGGUUCAAUAGUGAAAGACGGUGUUGCUGUCACGUAUCGAGGGAUCUGCGCCGCAUUAGCUAGUCGGUACGGUAACGGCUUACCAAGGCAACGAUGCGUAGACGACCUGAGAGACUGAUAGGCGACCUUGGAACGUGACCGCCGUCAUGGGUCCUGAGGGACGGCGCAGUAGGGAAUCGUACGCAAUGGGCGAAAGCCUUACGGAGCAACGCCGAGUGAGAGAUGACAGUCCUCGGAUCGGAAAACUGUGCUAUUAGGGAAAAACCACUGUGUAAGUAGACAUGCACGUCUUGACGGUACCUAACAAGAAAGCCACGGCUAACUACGUG
Molecule: ribosomal RNA, 497 nt
Filed under: uncultured bacterium
Lineage: Bacteria
Description: partial 16S ribosomal RNA
Rfam family: Bacterial small subunit ribosomal RNA
Source: RNAcentral